GAUUAAGAACGUAGCGAAAUGCGAUAAGUAGUGUGAAUUGCAGAAUUCAGUGAAUCAUCGAAUCUUUGAACGCACAUUGCGCCCCUUGGUAUUCCAUGGGGCAUGCCUGUUCGAGCGUCAUUUGUACCUUCAAGCUUUGCUUGGUGUUGGGUGUUUGUCUCGCCUCUGCGUGUAGACUCGCCUUAAAACAAUUGGCAGCCGGCGUAUUGAUUUCGGAGCGCAGUACAUCUCGCGCUUUGCACUCAUAACGACGACGUCCAAAAGUACAUUUUUACACUCUUGACCUCGGAUCAGGUAGGGAUACCCGCUGAACUUAAGCAUAUCAAUAAGCGGAGGA
This 337-nucleotide unclassified non-coding RNA is filed under the name soil metagenome. RNAcentral describes it as "partial contains 5.8S ribosomal RNA, internal transcribed spacer 2, and large subunit ribosomal RNA". The stretch from base 1 to 120 matches the Rfam family "5.8S ribosomal RNA", at positions 35 to 154 of the family's 154-position model. The record is from RNAcentral.